GAUGAACGCUAGCGGCAGGCUUAACACAUGCAAGUCGAGGGGUAUAGUAGCAAUACUAGAGACCGGCGCACGGGUGCGUAACGCGUAUGCAAUCUACCUUUCACAGAGGGAUAGCCCAGAGAAAUUUGGAUUAAUACCUCAUAGUAUAGUAUCUUGGCAUCAAGGAACUAUUAAAGUCACAACGGUGAAAGAUGAGCAUGCGUCCCAUUAGUUAGUUGGUAAGGUAACGGCUUACCAAGACUACGAUGGGUAGGGGUCCUGAGAGGGAGAUCCCCCACACAGGUACUGGGGCACCGACCAGACUCCUACGGGAGGCAGCAGUGAGGAGUAUUGGACAAUGGGCGCAAGCCUGAUCCAGCCAUGCCGCGUGCAGGAUGACGGUCCUAUGGAUUGUAAACUGCUUUUGUACAGGAAGAAACACCCCGACGUGUCGGGACUUGACGGUACUGUAAGAAUAAGGAUCGGCUAACUCCGUGCCAGCCGCCGCCGUAA
Molecule: ribosomal RNA, 492 nt
Filed under: uncultured bacterium
Lineage: Bacteria
Description: partial 16S ribosomal RNA
Rfam family: Bacterial small subunit ribosomal RNA
Source: RNAcentral